UACGUAGGGUCCAAGCAUUAUCCGGAUUUAUUGGGCGUAAAGCACAUGUAGGUGGUUAUGUCAGUCGCUGCUUAAAUCUCUGGGCUCAACCUGGGAAUGGCGCUUGUGACUGCAAAGCUGGAGUGCGGCAGAGGGGGAUGGAAUUCCGCGUGUAGCAGUGAAAUGCGUAGAUAUGCGGAGGAACACCAAUGGCGAAGGCAAUCCCCUGGGCCUGCACUGACGCUCAUGCACGAAAGCGUGGGGAGCAAACAGGAUUAGAUACCC
This 264-nucleotide ribosomal RNA is filed under the name uncultured bacterium. Its description in RNAcentral is "partial 16S ribosomal RNA". It matches the Rfam family "Bacterial small subunit ribosomal RNA", at positions 524 to 787 of the family's 1533-position model. The record is from RNAcentral.